AGGGCACCACCAGGAGUGGAGCCUGCGGCUUAAUUUGACUCAACACGGGGAAACUCACCCGGCCCGGACACCGUAAGGAUUGACAGAUUGAUAGCUCUUUCAUGAUUCGGUGGUUGGUGGUGCAUGGCCGUUCUUAGUUCGUGGAUCGAUUUGUCUGGUUUAUUCCGAUAACGAGCGAGGCUCUAGCCUACUAAAUAGUAACGAGAUUAUCAAUGUCUCAGUUGCUUCUUAGAGGGAUUUUCGGUGUUUAGCCGCACGAGAUUGAGCAAUAACAGGUCUGUGAUGCCCUUAGAUGUCCGGGGCUGCACGCGCGCUACACUGGCGAAAUCAGCGUGCUGUAUCCAUUCUUGAAAGGGAUUGGUAAACCCAUGAAAAUUUGCCGUGCUUGGGAUCGGAAAUUGCAAUUAUUUUCCGUGAACGAGGAAUUCCAAGUAAGUGCGAGUCAUCAACUCGCUCUGAUUACGUCCCUGCCCUUUGUACACACCGCCCGUCGCUGCCCGGGACUGAGCCAUUUCGAGA
Molecule: ribosomal RNA, 519 nt
Filed under: uncultured eukaryote
Lineage: Eukaryota
Description: SSU rRNA
Rfam family: Eukaryotic small subunit ribosomal RNA
Source: RNAcentral